GCCGGGCAGAUGGUGACGGAGGGCUUCCUGAACCUGCGGCUGCGCCCGGUCACCCGUGCGCUGAUCACCCGCGGCGCCUCGCUGAUCCCGGC
This 92-nucleotide small nucleolar RNA is filed under the name Oryza sativa (Asian cultivated rice). Its description in RNAcentral is "Z235 small nucleolar RNA". The record is from RNAcentral. Lineage: Eukaryota; Viridiplantae; Streptophyta; Magnoliopsida; Poales; Poaceae.